Molecule: RNA transcript, 1432 nt
Organism: Hippoglossus stenolepis (Pacific halibut)
Lineage: Eukaryota; Metazoa; Chordata; Actinopteri; Pleuronectiformes; Pleuronectidae
Gene name: platelet endothelial cell adhesion molecule
Exons: 10
Source: RefSeq, a predicted model, not a curated record
GUGUGUGUGUGUGUGUGCGUGUGUUUAUCCACGGUGCGUAAACCCUCGGUUAAAAACUGGAAAAACCUGAUGCACUACAGUGUAGCAAAAUCAUGUUGGAAGUCAGUAGUUGUAUGAAAGUCAGUCAUUUUUCUUUGAGAAUGUUUGCUUCCCUCCUCGUGGUCACGCUGGGGUUAUGCUACUGCAGAACGGACAGCAAUCAGACAUUUCUGGGGAUUCCACAGCUGUUUGGCCCUUCAGAGGCUUUGCUGGGAGAAAUUGUAGUAUUCAAAUGUGUAAUGCCAAACCACCCAAAGAAUGAAUCUGUCCUGCUGCAGUUAUACAACAAGGAUAAUGACAAGCGGUUGGGUGAGUCUACCUCCCUGUCUGGGGAAGCUGGAACCUUCACCCUGCUCAUCAAACUGUCCCAUGAGGGCAACCUGGAGUGUUUGGCCAGAGCACAGAACAACUCUCACACCAUGCCCACUGUCAGCAGAACACACCGCCUGAGGGUGGUUGAUGUGGUGUCAGCCCCUGAUAUCUCCUUCACUGUGCUGAAGGAGGAUUCCUACAACUACUCUGCUGUGGUCACAUGUGAGUCGACGAUUGGGACCCUGCCUGUCACCUUUUCACUCUACAACAGGACAGAGCUGGUUGCCAAUGUGACGAGUGAUAACAGGAGGGCCAUAUUUAAGUUACCACUUGUCUUGGAUCAGUACUCGGGAGAGCUCCAGUGCAACGCGGACAACGGAGCCCAGGUUGCUCACAGUCAGUGGCUGCCCUUGGAAGUUGUCUCAGUUGGCGGGCCUGUGACCAUGCACUACGACUCCGACAUUGGAGAAAACUUUGCUGUGAUUGGCCUGAGGUUGUACUGCAAGGUGGCAAAGGGAUCUCAUCCACGUUACCAGUGGUUCCUCAACAAAACCCUUCUCCAUGACAAAGGAAGUUUCUACUACGUGGUCGACCAGCCGCCAGAACAGUCAAUACUCCUGCUGUCUGUGGGGAGGAGCAGCGCUGGGACGUAUCACUGCCAAGUGUCUGACAGCUUUGACAACACUACUGCAAUAAGCAGUUGGGAGCAAUAUUUGGAUAAAGAAGUGCUGAACCGUCCCCCUGUCUAUGUAGUGGCAGUUGUCUUUGGUUGUUUCACAGCUUUGAUUCUCCUGGUGUCCGUCUGUUGUAUUGGAGUGGUGUACAGGGUCUGGAGAUGGAGAGAAGGGUAGUUGCCUACGAAGGCGAGCUGGAUCUGCGUGAGUACGGUGAGGAUGCAGGUGUGGUGAGAUCAGCCAGAGGGGGUGAAUUUGAUCAGACAUCUGAGGCCUCUGCAGAUGAAUGGCCCUAAAUUGCAGAACAGAAGAAGACGUUGGAGGAUGAAACGUUUGAGGCGCCCUGAGGACUUGUCAUUUGCUCCAUAUAAUCACACUGCUGUGGUUAAAUAAACCCCUGCUCGUGA